This is an RNA transcript of Hylaeus anthracinus, 4500 nucleotides long. It is a transcript of the gene named zinc finger CCCH domain-containing protein 13-like, with no coding region annotated. The transcript has 4 exons. The record is from RefSeq and is a predicted model, not a curated record. NCBI's taxonomy places the organism in Eukaryota, Metazoa, Arthropoda, Insecta, Hymenoptera, Colletidae.
CGCUCUCCUCCGGUGCACACUCUCGUGGUGACUCCGACCGGCAAAGUGCUCGCGUUCGUGAAAGUCCACAGACGACUUUCAGGGUCGUCUGCUCCGCUCGUCCGCUCCUGCUUCGACUCUCGCGGCGAGAAGGAGCCGCCGAAAACAAGAAACGUCGUCCACGUACGUCGCGUCGCGGUCUCGAACAGUUGGAACCCGGGAAGGUGUCCUCCUGAUCGCCCGGAGACACGUCGCGCCUAAACUCCGUCGUUCGUCGCGGAGAUCGAUGAGACGACGCUCCGUCGCGAGGAUUUCUCGUCCACUCGGCGCGGAUCACGAGUUCCUUGACCGUCCGAUAUCGCCGUACGAUCGAUCCCGCCGUACGAUCGUCGCGGCCAGCGAAUCUCGCGUGAACUCCCGUUGAUAUGUGAUCGGCCUGUGAUUUCUGGUGCGAAGGAAGCUCGAAUCCGCGAGAGGAUCCCUCGGUGGUCGCGUCGCGAACCGGAAUCGCUUGGAGACCAGUAACGGAACAUCGAGGAGCUUCCAACGAACCGAUCCACCUUUCGGUGAUCGUCUUUCAUCUUACGGUGUGACGUGACCAAGGCUUCCCUACGAAACUUGUUUUCUAAAUAAAAUCUAACUCGCGACGAUGUCCUCGCGUCUCCGCGUCCCGUCGACGAGGGACGGCGCAAGAUUGGUUCACGCCAACGAGCGGUUCCACGACGAGCAAGACGAUCAACCGCUGAAACCGAGGACGUGCAAGAACGGCUCGAAUCGCUACCACUUCGGGAUGACGCGACCACGGGACGAGGAGGUGAGCAGGAACGGUCGCGACCACAGGGACCACUCGGACGAGGACGCUGACGCGUUGUACAAAAAGAGCAGGCAGCACUUCGGCGCCUGGGACUUCAAGGACGUCGUCCUGGAGGAGAGACCCGGCCCGAGGAAGUCGACCGACCGAUUCGACGAACCCAGGUUAACGAACGGUCACUCCCGGAACGACCUCGUCCGGCAGGAUCAGGAACAAUCGCACAGAUCCAGGAGGAAGGACUGUCCGCCUUGGGAGGAGUCGAAGGCGUCGAGAAGUCGCGCUAGAAACGAGGAGAUCACUCCAGACCAUUCGAAGGUGGCGGACGAGAGGGAUCUACUUCUAAGGGAGAUUGAGAACCUGGCGGUCGAGGGAACGUCGCCCGAUCGGAGGAUCAGGGCGAUGAUCGAGAGGUUCAAGACCAGGGAGGAGGACAAGCUCAGGUCCAGAAGGGAGAGGGACUCGCUGAGUCCGGAGAAGGACGGGUGCAGGUCGAAAAGCGUUGGACGAAACGAGUCGCGGCUGGAUCACGAGGAUCGUGUCAACGACAGGGGAUCCAGGACCCAGAAGGACGAUCAGCCGGUGAGAUCGAAGAUAACGGAGCCCGAGCACGAGGAGCCAAGCAGAGGUCGGUCCGUCGAUCGCAGGGCUGAGAAGUUCAAUGGAUUCGGGGACUCGAGGAGGAACGACGGCGUGCCGCGUCACAGGAACGACAGCUCGGAGAAGAGUCGUCGCAGACGAUCCAGGGAGCUCGAGGACGACCUGCCGCGCAGGAAAGAUAGCCCUAAAAGAAGAAGCUACGCUUACGAGGGGAACCCAGAGGACUUCGACGUGAGAAUACAGAGGUACGAGAGAGGCCUUUUGGAACCCAGAAGAGAGUCUCCCAAGCGAGUGUUGUUGAAAGACUCCGACCAAAAGGAGUCCUUCAAGGACUACGAUCGACAAGUGACUAGGAAGAGCUCCUUCAAGAAGACCCACAGGGACAGAGAGAGUCCCAGAAGAGAAUCUAGCUUGAAUAGAAAAGCUUCUCUCAAAACCCCGGAGAACGAUCUCCCUAGGAAGAAUUCCUUCAAGGACUCCGAGAAGAACUACUUCGGUAAGGAUCACGUUUCCAGGAAAAGUUCCUUCAAGGAGCCCGGAAUCCCUCCUGGUUACGAAUCUCCCAGGAAGAACUCCCAGCAGGGCUCGGAUUACGGUCGGAUCGCGCCGAAGAUGCACGACGAAGAGGAGCAGAAAAAUAAUUUCAAAGGACACGUCGGUGGAGUGAGCAGAAUCACGUUUAAAGAACGCGAGGAAGCCAGGGUCCGCGCGUACAAAGAUCAGGAAUCUGAAGUCAGAGGCUUCAAAGAUCACUCGACCGAUCUAGGGCGCAAGAAUUCUUUCAAAGAGAAGACCGUCGAGUUCGCCGGCGUCUCUUACGAAAAUCAGGACGACGAGGACCGGAGGACCUCGUACAAGGGUCAGGACAAAGCGAUCUUCCGGGGUCAGAGACACUCCCCUAACGGUCGAUACGUGGAGUUCGGUACGGUGUCCUAUCACAACCAGGACGAGGAGGUACUGACGAAGGAUCAUGAUCAGGAUCAGGAUCACGAUUUGGGAAGGAAGAACUCGUUCAAGGAUCGAGACUCUCCUUCGAAGAGGAGACCGUCUCUCAGGAGCAAGAGUCACGAGCCCUUCGACAAACGAUCUAAUAGACACUCCAGACCGCUCACUCCCCCGAAAAAGGACGAGAGUCUCGAGGAACUCGGGGACCGCGAGGACUUUGACUCAAGGUCCUGGCACGAGAGCAACAGACACUUCGCUGUCAAGUAUCUCAGGGAGAACGGCAGGUACCGCUCGAACCCCGAAGGUCAUUCGGAGAUCGAGAGAGAUCCCUCUCCGGAGGGCAUCGCAGGAGGGCAGGACAGGAAGCACUCCGUGGACGAGGUGUUCAUCGACCAAGUCGAGGCGACGAAAAGGGAGCAACGGAACGACUACUCGAACAUCGGCUCGUACGGGUUCGUCGUCGAGCACGAUCAGACUCGCGAGCGAAUUCAGGACACCCUGUACGCGGCCACUCGCGAGAGGAACGGCGCCACGAUCAUCAGGAUCCGCUCGAGUCCCGAGGCGACGGUCGAGAGGCGACGCAGACGUCGUCCGCCGCAGGACGCCCACGCGCCGAGACGCAGGCGUUACGACGACGAAGAGGACGACAGCGAGGACGACGAGGAUGACCAUCGCAGACGGAGGGCGUCGCGGGGCGACGGUUCAGCGCCGCUAAGAGCUGUCCCUACACCGUCCAGGCGAAUCUGGAAUUACCGCGAAGGGGGUGUCCUGAUCACUGACGUCGAGGAGGGCCAGCCCUGUUUGCAGUGCGGGGAAACGUGCUCAGGAUUCUCACCCCACACGUGGAGUGUCGGUCUUUCGGCGUUUGGCGACUCCCCGAAUUCGCUCCGGUUAUCCGGAACCCGAUAAACGCUCGCGGACGCGCGCGAAUCGAGCCGAAUCCGUCGCUAGUCGCGGACUCGUCGUCGUCCGAUCGUCGAUAGCCGCGAUUUGUGAGUGCCAUGGUUUGGGACGACGGACUCUCGGUGAAGGAACUGACGGAGAUGAGGAAGAAAACGCCGCGAUUUCCUUCGAGGGAGCGGAAUUUCGCGAUGAGGAGACGAGGAGUGCGAAGAGCCUUCUCGCUGAGCCUGGGCAGCGCCUCCCCGAUCGCUGCUCCACCGCCCGACAUCCAGGAGGAGGAACGCGACAGCACCCCCGACGAAUCCUCCAACGAUAACGUUGCCACACUAGACCAAUUGCGUUUGCCCGCGAGCAUUUUGCACGUUCUCACCUGGCUGGUGAUCGUCGCUGGAUGACUCAGACGUCAGUCACUCCACGUGUGGGGCGAUAACGCGUAAGACAAAGAGAACUCGUGGCUAAUUACUUCAGAUACCUCCGAAGGACGUUUGUAUAAGUCAUCGCUGUAUACAGUGUCAAGUUCGUGAAAUCAGAAGGCGCUACUCCGCAAAACGUACAUAUUCUAUACCUGCAAGAGUCUACCGAAUACUCCCAACCACAAUUUGUGCUAGCUACAUUUAGAAGCCACCUACUCAGAGAAGAUCGCAGUUCAAAAAUGUCAAAGGCCUCGGGGUCGGAAACGAUGAGGACCAGAGUUUCAUCCUGAACGACAAACUGCAGAGGCGUCACACGACGCCUCAGUUGCUCCCAGGCGCGGGCCCCAGGAUGAGUCCGAAAGGACCCAGCCAGGAGGGUCCGAAGAUGGAAGUGAGGGUGUCCUGCACGACAGGUCCUGGCGGGGAACCCCAGGGGAUCCGAGUGAGAAUCCCCGAGCCCAAGAAGAGGCCCAUGAGCCCUCCUCUGAUGGAGACGAUGCGCGCCAGGUGUCCCUCUGUGCCCGAGAAGGAGUUCUACCGGAAGACCUCGUCCCUGGAUCGUCGAGACAGGUACCCCACGUUGUCAGGGGCCGAGAUCAAGAGGGGACUGAUCCCUGGAUCCGCGGAUCUGCCACGUGGCAAGAGGAACCCCAUGCUGGACAGGAAGAACCGUUUUCCGACGAUAUCAGGCGCGGAACUGAAGAGGAGCAUCGCUAUCGGAAGGUGUCCUCUGGAGGAUGGGCUAGAUCUCAGCCUGGCACCCUGGCCAGGGAUGAAGUGGGCCUGCGUGAGGGUGUUGCAUCUGUACUGUAAGGUGUUUGGCCAGUUCGAGCUGUUCGAGCUGAUCGUUAG